GGAAGUUCUCCAGCACCUAAGCUGGAGCAGCCAACAUUAAGGAGAAACUGAUGAUCAAGACAUCUAAAGUACAGGGGAACAUUAUGGGAAGAGGCUGACUGACGCUGCGGCUGACAGUGCAGCCGCAAUCACCCUGCCUGCAUGACCACUCUCGCCUGCUGCCAUAUUUUCCGCAUCCAUUGCUACUGCUGCACUCUUCAUUUCCAUCCCUCCUUCCCAGAAUGCCGGUUCGGGAGCAAUGUCAUCAUCACGGCAUUCUGGGAGCAGCCGCAGGGGAGAGAAGACAGAGGAGCAUCAGCUGCAGCGCGUAGGGUGAUGGCACGUAGUACUACUACAUGUAGCCGCACGCCCUCCCAUCCAUUCUGCAGCCUAAUUGCCCUGAGGAGGAGAUUCAUCACCCAGGCAGUCCUGGAUCCCUGCCCCAGCAGCACAGCAUAGAAGCUGCAGCAUCAGCACUGACAGGAGGAUAUGCAAACGCCCUGCCAGGAUUUUUUUCUUGAAAUGUUGCAGUUUCUUCCUGAUGAACAUGAAUAUGUAUUUUUAUAUUUUUCAUUAGACAACAGAAAUUUGAAAUGAUAGCAAAGUGAUGAUUUUAUUGAUUCCGGAUGUAAUCACAUCAACGGUAUACCGACGCCAGAAUCUCGACCACUAGAAAUGCCGACUAACAGGGACUAUUUCCAUGACACCCCCCACUGGCAUUCCGGCAUCCAGGAUCCUGGCAUGGGGAUGCUGUAAAUGAUCGCCACUUUAACAAAAAAAACAGGAGAACUCUCACAAAAUUUCUCACUUUCUCAUUCUCACACCCUGUUACAUUCCCCCCAUAGUUUGUAUUUUGUGGCCACAAGGCUACAUGUGGCUGAUUUUAGAAACUGAAAUUAGUUCAUGGAAAAAC
Long non-coding RNA from Pseudophryne corroboree (corroboree frog), 892 nucleotides. RefSeq lists it as uncharacterized. The transcript has 3 exons. Lineage: Eukaryota; Metazoa; Chordata; Amphibia; Anura; Myobatrachidae. The record is from RefSeq and is a predicted model, not a curated record.